UCUGGUUGAUCCUGCCAGUAGUCAUAUGCUUGUCUCAAAGAUUAAGCCAUGCAUGUCUAAGUAUAAAUAGUAUACAGUGAAACUGCGAAUGGCUCAUUAAAACAGUUAUAGUUUAUUUGAUAAUUGACAAUUACAUGGAUAACCGUGGUAAUUCUAGAGCUAAUACAUGCUUAAACGCCCGACCUUAUGGAAGGGUGGUAUUUAUUAGACUGAAGCCAAUAUUCCUUGUGUCUAUUGCGGUGAUUCAUAAUAACUGAUCGAAUCUCUUUUUGAGAUAAAUCAUUCAAGUUUCUGCCCUAUCAGCUUUCGAUGGUAGUGUAUUGGACUACCAUGGCAGUAACGGGUAACGAAGAAUUAGGGUUCGAUUUCGGAGAGGGAGCAUGAGAAACGGCUACCACAUCUAAGGAAGGCAGCAGGCGCGUAAAUUACCCAAUCCUGACUCAGGGAGGUAGUGACAAGAAAUAGCAAACCGGGAACCUCAUGGUUUCACGGUAUUGCAAUGAGAACAAUUUAAAACCCUUAGCGAGAAUCAAGUGGAGGACAAGUCUGGUGCCAGCACCCGCGGUAAUUCCAGCUCCACUAGCGUAUAUUAAAGUUGUUGCAGUUAAAAAGCUCGUAGUUGAACCUCUGUCUGGGGCUAGUUUUGGCUUUGGUCAGGCUAGUUCUAGGCAUCCGCCUACAAGACUUAGAGGGCAUUCAGUUGUUCACUAGGAGGAGUAGGCAUUUUACUUUGAAAAAAUUAGAGUGUUUAAGGCAGGCAAUCGCCCGCAUAUAUUAGCAUGGAACAAUAGAAUAGGACACUUUUCCAUUUCGUUGGUUAUUGGAAUCGUGUAAUGAUUAAUAGGGACAGUUGUGGGCAUUUGUAUUUAAUUGUCAGAGGUGAAAUUCUUGGAUUUAUUAAAGACAAACUAACGCGAAAGCAUUUGCCAAGGAUGUUUUCAUUAAUCAAGAACGAAAGUUAGGGGAUCAAAGACGAUCAGAUACCGUCCUAGUCUUAACUAUAAACUAUUCCGACUCAAUGUUUGACUGGCUUAUAUAACCAGUUGAGCGUUGUAUGAGAAAUCAAAGUCUUUAGGUUCUGGGGGGAGUAUGGUUGCAAAGCUGAAACUUAAAGGAAUUGACGGAAGAGCACAACCAGGAGUGGAUUCUGCGGCUUAAUUUGACUCAACACGGGGAAACUUACCAGGUUAAAACAAUAGUGGGAUUGACAGUUUGAGAGCGCUUUCUUGAUUGGUUGGGUGGUGGUGCAUGGCCGUUCUUAGUUGGUGGAGUGAUUUGUCUGCUUAAUUGCGUUAACGAACGAGACCUUAACCUGCUUACUAGACUGGCGAUCAUCAAUCGUUAGCUCUUCUUAGA
Molecule: ribosomal RNA, 1356 nt
Filed under: metagenome
Description: SSU rRNA
Rfam family: Eukaryotic small subunit ribosomal RNA
Source: RNAcentral